AAGACCCUAUCAAACUUUACUUUAGUUUAACUGGGGCAGUUAAUUAAUAAAAAUUUUAAUAAAGAUUAAGUACUAAAUAGANNNCCCAACANUAGUUGAUUACANUGAACAAGUUACUGUAGGGAUAACAGCGUAAUAUAUAUCUAAAGUUCUUAUUUUGAUAUAAGUUUGCGACCUCGAUGUUGAAUUNAUAUUACUUUCAAGCGCAAGAGCCUGAAAAGUGGGUCUGUUCGACCCCUAAAUAUAUACAUGAUUUGAGUUCAAAUCGGUGUAAACCAGAUUGGUUUCUAUCUAUUNUUAUUUGUGUCUUAGUACGAAAGGACCUGAAACAAUAUUAUAUAAUNAUUUAUAUGGCAGAAAAAUGCUUUAGAUUUAGGAUCUAAUUAUAAUAGAUUAUUAUACUCUAUUUAACUUGCCUAAUCUCUGUUAUUAGAAUCCUUAUCGCAGUAGCUUUUUAUACCCUCCUAGAGCGAAAAAUUCUAAGCUACAUCC
This 492-nucleotide ribosomal RNA is filed under the name Sancus acoreensis. RNAcentral's name for it is "partial 16S ribosomal RNA". The stretch from base 1 to 292 matches the Rfam family "Bacterial large subunit ribosomal RNA", at positions 2085 to 2642 of the family's 2925-position model. Lineage: Eukaryota; Metazoa; Arthropoda; Arachnida; Araneae; Tetragnathidae. The record is from RNAcentral.